UACAGAGGUCCCAAGCGUUGUCCGGAAUUAUUGGGCGUAAAGAGCUCGUAGGCGGUUUGUUGCGUCGGCUGUGAAAUCCCGAGGCUCAACCUCGGGUCUGCAGUCGAUACGAGCAAACUAGAGUGUUGCAGGGGAGACUGGAAUUCCUGGUGUAGCAGUGAAAUGCGCAGAUAUCAGGAGGAACACCGGUGGCGAAGGCGGGUCUCUGGGCAACAACUGACGCUGAGGAGCGAAAGCGUGGGGAGCGAACAGG
RNAcentral lists this ribosomal RNA (253 nucleotides) under uncultured bacterium. RNAcentral describes it as "partial 16S ribosomal RNA". It matches the Rfam family "Bacterial small subunit ribosomal RNA", at positions 524 to 776 of the family's 1533-position model. The record is from RNAcentral.